CGGACGGGUGAGUAACGCGUGGAAAACCUGCCGUAUACUGGGGGAUAACACCUAGAAAUAGGUGCUAAUACCGCAUAAGCGCACAGCUUCGCAUGAAGCGGUGUGAAAAACUCUGGUGGUAUACGAUGGUUCCGCGUCUGAUUAGCUAGUUGGUGGGGUAAUGGCCUACCAAGGCAACGAUCAGUAGCCGGCCUGAGAGGGUGAACGGCCACAUUGGGACUGAGACACGGCCCAAACUCCUACGGAAGGCAGCAG
RNAcentral lists this ribosomal RNA (255 nucleotides) under uncultured bacterium. RNAcentral describes it as "partial 16S ribosomal RNA". It matches the Rfam family "Bacterial small subunit ribosomal RNA", at positions 99 to 354 of the family's 1533-position model. The record is from RNAcentral.